RNAcentral lists this ribosomal RNA (484 nucleotides) under uncultured bacterium. Its description in RNAcentral is "partial 16S ribosomal RNA". It matches the Rfam family "Bacterial small subunit ribosomal RNA", at positions 30 to 507 of the family's 1533-position model. The record is from RNAcentral.
AUUGAACGCUGGCGGCAGGCCUAACACAUGCAAGUCGAGCGGAUGAAGGGAGCUUGCUCCUGGAUUCAGCGGCGGACGGGUGAGUAAUGCCUAGGAAUCUGCCUGGUAGUGGGGGAUAACGUCCGGAAACGGGCGCUAAUACCGCAUACGUCCUGAGGGAGAAAGUGGGGGAUCUUCGGACCUCACGCUAUCAGAUGAGCCUAGGUCGGAUUAGCUAGUUGGUGGGGUAAAGGCCUACCAAGGCGACGAUCCGUAACUGGUCUGAGAGGAUGAUCAGUCACACUGGAACUGAGACACGGUCCAGACUCCUACGGGAGGCAGCAGUGGGGAAUAUUGGACAAAGGGCGAAAGCCUGAUCCAGCCAUGCCGCGUGUGUGAAGGAGGUCUUCGGAUUGUAAAGCACUUUAAGUUGGGAGGAAGGGCAGUAAGUUAAUACCUUGCUGUUUUGACGUUACCAACAGAAUAAGCACCGGCUAACUUCGUG